CCUACGGGUGGCAGCAGUGAGGAAUAUUGGUCAAUGGACGAGAGUCUGAACCAGCCAAGUAGCGUGAAGGAUGACUGCCCUAUGGGUUGUAAACUUCUUUUAUAUGGGAAUAAAAUGUUCCACGUGUGGGAUUUUGUAUGUACCAUAUGAAUAAGGAUCGGCUAACUCCGUGCCAGCAGCCGCGGUAAUACGGAGGAUCCGAGCGUUAUCCGGAUUUAUUGGGUUUAAAGGGAGCGUAGGUGGAUUGUUAAGUCAGUUGUGAAAGUUUGCGGCUCAACCGUAAAAUUGCAGUUGAAACGGGCAGUCUUGAGUACAGUAGAGGUGGGCGGAAUUCGUGGUGUAGCGGUGAAAUGCUUAGAUAUCACGAAGAACUCCGAUUGCGAAGGCAGUUCACUGGACUGCAAGUGACACUGAGGCUCGAAAGUGUGGGUAUCAAACAGGAUUAGAUACCCUUGAGUC
Molecule: ribosomal RNA, 459 nt
Filed under: uncultured bacterium
Lineage: Bacteria
Description: partial 16S ribosomal RNA
Rfam family: Bacterial small subunit ribosomal RNA
Source: RNAcentral